UACGGGGGGGGUAAGCGUUGUUCGGAAUUACUGGGCGUAAAGGGCUCGUAGGCGGCCAACUAAGUCAGACGUGAAAUCCCUCAGCUUAACUGGGGAACUGCGUCUGAUACUGGAUGGCUUGGAUUUGGGAGAGGAAUGCGGAAUUCCAGGUGUAGCGGUGAAAUGCGUAGAUAUCUGGAGGAACACCGGUGGCGAAGGCGGCAUUCUGGACCAAUAUUGACACUGAGGAGCGAAAGCCAGGGGAGCAAACGGG
RNAcentral lists this ribosomal RNA (253 nucleotides) under uncultured bacterium. Its description in RNAcentral is "partial 16S ribosomal RNA". It matches the Rfam family "Bacterial small subunit ribosomal RNA", at positions 524 to 776 of the family's 1533-position model. The record is from RNAcentral.